UAAUGCAUGCAAGUCGAACGAGUAACCUGCCGUUCCGUAAGGAACGGUAGGGGACAGUGGCGAACGGGUGCGUAACACGUGAGAAACCUGCCCCGAAGACCGGGAUAGCCCGGGGAAACCCGGAUUAAUACCGGAUACCCUCGAUGGAUCGCAAGGUCCGGCGAGGAAACGGUCCGCCGCUUCGGGAUGGUCUCGCGGCCUAUCAGCUUGUUGGUGAGGUAACGGCUCACCAAGGCAGCGACGGGUAGCUGGUCUGAGAGGACGAUCAGCCACACUGGGACUGAGACACGGCCCAGACUCCUACGGGAGGCAGCAGCAGGGAAUAUUGCACAAUGGGCGCAAGCCUGAUGCAGCGACGCCGCGUGCGGGAUGAAGGCCUUCGGGUUGUAAACCGCUUUCAGGAGGGACGAAAUUGACGGUACCUCCAGAAGAAGGCCCGGCCAACUACGUGCCAGCAGCCGCGGUAACACGUAGGGGCCAAACGUUGUCCGGAUUUAUUGGGCGUAAAGGGCUCGUAGGCGGUUUGACAAGUCGGUCGUGAAAACCCGGGGCUCAACCCCGGGACGCCGGUCGAAACUGUCAUGACUA
RNAcentral lists this ribosomal RNA (588 nucleotides) under uncultured Actinomycetes bacterium. RNAcentral describes it as "bacterial SSU rRNA". It matches the Rfam family "Bacterial small subunit ribosomal RNA", at positions 49 to 643 of the family's 1533-position model. Lineage: Bacteria; Bacillati; Actinomycetota; Actinomycetes. The record is from RNAcentral.